Molecule: ribosomal RNA, 393 nt
Filed under: uncultured bacterium
Lineage: Bacteria
Description: partial 16S ribosomal RNA
Rfam family: Bacterial small subunit ribosomal RNA
Source: RNAcentral
AUACGGAGGAUCCGAGCGUUAUCCGGAUUUAUUGGGUUUAAAGGGAGCGUAGGUGGGAUAUUAAGUCAGCUGUGAAAGUUUGGGGCUCAACCUUAAAAUUGCAGUUGAUACUGGUUUCCUUGAGUACGGUACAGGUGGGCGGAAUUCGUGGUGUAGCGGUGAAAUGCUUAGAUAUCACGAAGAACUCCGAUCGCGAAGGCAGCUCACCGGGCCGGAACUGACACUGAUGCUCGAAAGUGCGGGUAUCAAACAGGAUUAGAUACCCUGGUAGUCCGCACAGUAAACGAUGGAUACUCGCUGUCGGCGAUAUACGGUCGGUGGCCAAGCGAAAGCGUUAAGUAUUCCACCUGGGGAGUACGCCGGCAACGGUGAAACUCAAAGGAAUUGACGGGG